ACUCACUGGGCUUUCUUUCACAGCACUGGGUGAAGGCAGUCUACUUCAGGAGAAGCAAUGUGAUUUACCAAGCUAAGUAUUUCAUUUUUUCUAUCACAAAGGAUGGGAGGGUGGAUGUGUGAAUCUGUGCACUUUAAGAAGUGAUUUUUUCAAAAGCAGUCUAAAAUAAAACUAAGUUCAGAGAUUCUUAUUUUGAAUGUUUUAUUAUGUUGAAUUUAAAUAUAAACUCUUCAGAGUAUAAAAACCAGGUAAAUCUUACAGCUGACGCAGAGAUAGAAGCCUGUUAACACAUAUACAUUACUAUCUUAAACUACCUUCUUAAACCGAUCAGUUUAACUUACCAUAACGGAAAUAUCUAAAAUUUAGAAAAGGAACAAAGUUUUUAUUUCCCUAAAGCCCUUAAUUCAGGUCUUAGGCUAGAACUUCAUUUUUUAAAAGUUAUUUUUAAAAAAUAUUUAAUACUUUAUUCAUACAGAAAUGCCCUGUAUUGUAUGGACUCUGUAUUAUAUAGUCUGUAGCUGUGCUGAGGACAGUGUUGACUACUAAAGGCAAAGUCUUAAAAUGAAAAGUUCAUCUACUGUUAGGCAAGUCCCAUUAAGUUAGGAAGUUAUUAGACCCCUGGAAGCUGAUGCCUGAUUUCCUCCUCAAAAUUUUUUUAACUUAUUGACAGAUAAAAAUCUGCUCUGCUGUAAUCAAGAGAUUUCCUGUUGAGAUUAAAACUGAGAACUUCAUUUUUUAAAUAAAGAAUAAUCAAAACAAUUUUAUAAACUGAGUGGCUUUCCAAAGCUAAUUUUCUACUAGAUGCAAUGAAAUUAUAGAUAGUAUUACUGUUCUCAAUCAUCAUUUUAGUUUGUUUUAAAAUCAGUCAUAUUUCUAGGGUUUUUUUCUAUAUUCCCCCAAUAAAAAGGCAAGUCAACUAUGUAAUCUUCAUUAUUAAUAUGAUGACCUAACAUAUUAUGCAGGUGCUCAGUUGCUGAGGUUAGCAUGUCAGAAUUGAUCAAUGAAAAAAUUCAUAGUUUGAAUCACAGUGGACUCCACCUGCCACAUUAAAGCAGUAGAACAGAAGAGACAUGAAAAUGACACAGUAUUAAUCUAUCAUCUACCUUUUAACAGCUGAUGGAAACACAUACACUGUAUCUAUCAUCUAUCUACCCAUUUAUAUUUAUGUAUAUAUGUAUUAUAUAUCUUACACAUUAGAUAUGUAUUAUACACAUUAAAAUGAGGAGCACAUAGUCAUCUAGUAUAAAAAUAGCUAAAUCACUGUGAUAAGUUCCAAGAAAGACAAGAACAGGGUGCCAGGUUUGUGUACAAUAUGAGCACCAUGGUUUCAUAAGUUGGUAGCUAAGUAUUGAAACUGACUGAUGAUGUUAUUUAUGUUUGAAUUAUAAGGUCAUGAAAUCCCAGAACCGGAAGAGAUCUUUAAAAUCAUCUAGUCCAACCAGUCAUUCACUGCUUGAAUUUUUCUUAUUAUUCACUUGACCAUUGCUGAUAUUUGACUAUUUUUUGACUUACAAACACAGCAUUUUUAUACAGUUCAACCUAAUACAAACAUUUAUUAAGUUUGGUGCUGGGCCAGGACCACAUAAGAUGGAUUAGUCAAGACAACCCUACCCAACUCUUUAUACAGGGGAGAAAUGUGAAACCAAAUAAUUAUAACAUAGUGACUAUUUGUAGAAAUAAAAUGGCUAAAGUGGCCUCACCUAUCCAAAAUGAACAGGCUUGGUGCUGAGUUGAGUGGUCAAAUUGUGUGAUCUAAUGCAACAGUUCAAAACUCCAUCAAACUCUAUGAGGCUAUUCGUAACCAAUGAGGGAUUCACUACAGAGACAUGAAUUUCGGCCACUUUCUAGCUUGAGCUCAUGGCUAAAUAGUGAAGCAUUUACUCGUGCUUCUCCAGCUUCUUGGAGAACUCACUCAUGCUGCAGGAAAAGAUUACAAUUUUACCAGUCACUUCAGUCUCUAUCCCAAAAGCUGUGUUUCCCAUAGCACAUGGCUAUGGGUUCAUAGACAUUGAAGGUUAAGUAGAAAUUACUCUUAGAAGCAACUUCUAUUGACCACGAUCCCACCUGUUAGAAAUAGGUCCUAACUGUGUAAAUGAUGAAAGGACUAUCUUUCCUUGGUAUUUAAUUCUAUUGGCUUCAGUUAGUCACUUGAAACUGCACAAGAUGGAGAUGAAUUCCUUAAUGUUCUUAUUUCAGCACAUAACAUACACAGUGCUAGGCUGGCAUCAGAAAAUAGAUAUGCUAUGGCCCCUGUCCUCAAGUUAUGCUAAAGUCCUCUUAAGUCUAAAUACUUUAAAAAGGUUUGAUGAGUGUAAUAUAUUCAUCCAUCCAUCCAUCAUUUAUGAAGCACUGACUAACGUCAGGCAUUUUCCUGAACUCUGGGAUAAGUGGGAAAUAAGACAAAGUCCCUGCUGCCACCCCACCCUUACCAUGUAUAUAUUUAUUGGAACAAUAUACUGAAUUUUCAAAAGGACAUUCCACUUAUGUGCUUUUUUCAUUUGUUUCAGCAACCGGAGAAAACUGUAUCACUCAGAAUCUGAGUGGUGGCAGAGACUAUAACUGCCUUGUUCGCUGCUAUAUCUGCAACGCUAAAAGUAUACUGUCUGCCACAUAAGAUCGAGUCUUGCUCUGUCACCCAGGCUGGAGUGCAGUGGUGUGAUCUGCAGCCUCAAAAUCCUGGACCAAAGCAAUCCUCCCACCUUAGCCUCCCAAGUAGUUGGGAUUACAGAAGUGAGCUACUAUGACCAGCUUCAAAUUUCUUUAAUAGCUUAAACCUGUCCAAGCAAGAUGAGAAACAUAACACCUAGUCUAUUAUCUCACUGGUUCCAUGAUUUUAUGAGUCAGAGCGAACUGAAGUUUGGCUCAAAUCAAAGUUUAUGUUAUUGCUCCUGCAUUCUUCUUUUGAAUCAUAAUAAAAAUCUCAUCCAACAAGGAAGCUGAGGUUCAGAGUUAAUGAUGAGAGCAUAUGGAAUUUGAAUCCAGGUUAAGACAACUUCAAAGCUGGUGCCAUUUUCCACUACCCAGCACAGUCACUGGUAAAGGUAUCCUUCCAGACAGAAUGUGUUCUAGUUACGGGUAUGCAUUUUCUUUCCUGAAAAAGUAAACCCUCUAUCUGUGAAAUAACUGCUAAAUCUUCUUGUGUGGUUUUUAUAUACUAAUUAAUCUCUUAACAACCUAAUACAUGUUUUUGUUAUAAAUAACCUAAUAUUCAUUUUGUGAAAUGCAGCAAAAAGGAUAAAAUGGUCAUUUCCUUUCAUUAA
RNAcentral lists this long non-coding RNA (3260 nucleotides) under Homo sapiens (human). RNAcentral describes it as "HSALNT0296752". The record is from RNAcentral. Lineage: Eukaryota; Metazoa; Chordata; Mammalia; Primates; Hominidae.